CCUACGGGGGGCAGCAGUAGGGAAUCUUUCACAAUGGGCGAAAGCCUGAUGGAGCAACGCCGCGUGCAGGAUGAAGGCCUUCGGGUUGUAAACUGCUUUUAUAAGCGAGAAAUAUGAUGGUAACUUAUGAAUAAGGAUCGGCUAACUACGUGCCAGCAGCCGCGGUCAUACGUAGGAUACGAGCAUUAUCCGGAGUGACUGGGUGUAAAGAGUUGCGUAGGUGGCAUAAUAAGUAGCUAGUGAAAUCUGGUGGCUCAACCAUUCAGACUAUUAGCUAAACUGUUAAGCUCGAGACCGUUAGAGGUAACUGGAAUUUCUAGUGUAGGAGUGAAAUCCGUAGAUAUUAGAAGGAACACCAAUAGCGUAGGCAGGUUGCUGGGACGGUUCUGACACUAAGGCACGAAAGCGUAGGGAGCAAACGGGAUUAGAUACCCGAGUAGUC
Molecule: ribosomal RNA, 442 nt
Filed under: uncultured bacterium
Lineage: Bacteria
Description: partial 16S ribosomal RNA
Rfam family: Bacterial small subunit ribosomal RNA
Source: RNAcentral